GCGGAGAGGAGGGAGGCGGGCGGCGCUAUUGUGAGAGGGGCCGCCGCCGCCUCGAGGGGCGGGGAGGGGGCCGCGAGGGGAGGCCGGGGAAGAGGGGCGAGGACCGAGGAGCGCGCGGAGGAGCGGGGUGAAGCGGCCCCACACUGGUACUGGAGAGAAUCAGGUUCUUUGUCUCUAAGUGCUCCAGACCAGAAGCCGAGGGACCGCUGGUUCCCGGAGGGAGGAGAAUCCAUGAUGUCUGCUGCCCGGGGAGUUGUCGCCACAACCUCCUUGCCAUGAAGUAUCGCCAACUACCAACAGUUCUUCCCCAACGGCCGUUUCCCCAGCCUCCUUACCACUCCUCGCAUCAUUUGGAGGCUCUGGAAGCGUCGAAGCAAAGGAUAUCCCUGAAGGGAUUUGUCCCUUGACCGCCAAUAAUUUAGGCUACUCUAUGUUGAAUUCUCUUUGGUAUCUCUCCAAGUUCAUUUUGCGUGUGUGUCUUAAUUUCCAAGCGACUGUAGCCAACACGUCCUCACAGAAAUCCUCAUGGAAAAACUUUCAAUUCGUCUUAAUUGAUUUUCUUGUCUGAGAUGUGCUUUUUAAAGUCCUCAUGGAGAUGGAGAAGUCUAACAUUCUCUGGCCUAAUGUGAAUACCUCUAAUUAAAACUGUGACUCUGUUUUGUGAUCCCAAAGCAUGAAGGACUGGAUUUUAAACAAAUGGGUAUGAAUAUGUUAAGACUCCAAGAGAGCCCCAGCCCUCUUCUGCCAGAUUGUAUGGCCCUCAGAUCUGCAAGGGAAAUGUUGGCCUUAGGGAUACCAAGGAAUGGAGGGAGUGGACAUGGGAGAGAAUACAGAAUGUGGCCAUCUC
Nycticebus coucang (slow loris) is the source of this 847-nucleotide long non-coding RNA. RefSeq lists it as uncharacterized. Lineage: Eukaryota; Metazoa; Chordata; Mammalia; Primates; Lorisidae. The transcript has 2 exons. The record is from RefSeq and is a predicted model, not a curated record.